This 163-nucleotide ribosomal RNA is filed under the name Adenocarpus telonensis. Its description in RNAcentral is "5.8S ribosomal RNA". It matches the Rfam family "5.8S ribosomal RNA". Rfam says of the family: 5.8S ribosomal RNA (5.8S rRNA) is a component of the large subunit of the eukaryotic ribosome. It is transcribed by RNA polymerase I as part of the 45S precursor that also contains 18S and 28S rRNA. The record is from RNAcentral. Lineage: Eukaryota; Viridiplantae; Streptophyta; Magnoliopsida; Fabales; Fabaceae. RNAcentral also lists the same sequence under 2 other names.
AAGACUCUCGGCAACGGAUAUCUCGGCUCUUGCAUCGAUGAAGAACGUAGCGAAAUGCGAUACUUGGUGUGAAUUGCAGAAUCCCGUGAACCAUCGAGUCUUUGAACGCAAGUUGCGCCCGAAGCCAUUAGGUUGAGGGCACGCCUGCCUGGGUGUUGCACAU